RNAcentral lists this ribosomal RNA (473 nucleotides) under uncultured bacterium. RNAcentral describes it as "SSU rRNA". It matches the Rfam family "Bacterial small subunit ribosomal RNA", at positions 26 to 518 of the family's 1533-position model. The record is from RNAcentral.
AGAAUCAACGCUGGCGGCGUGCCUAACACAUGCAAGUCGAACGAGAAAGGGGAGCAAUCCCUGAGUAAAGUGGCGACCGGGUGAGUAACACGUGACUAACCUACCCUCGAGUGUGGAAUAACAUCGGGAAACCGAUGCUAAUACCGCAUAACAUCGGCGCUUUUAAGAGAUGCCGAUCAAAGGAGCAAUCCGCUUGAGGAGGGGGUCGCGGCUGAUUAGCUAGUUGGCGGGGUAACGGCCACCAAGGCGAAGAUCGGUAGCCGGCCUGAGAGGGCGCACGGCCACACUGGAACUGAAACACGGUCCAGACUCCUACGGAGGCAGCAGUGGGGAAUUUUGCGCAAUGGGGGAAACCCUGACGCAGCAACGCCGCGUGGAGGAUGAAGCCCCUUGGGGCGUAAACUCCUUUCGACCAAGACGAUAAUGACGGUACUGGUGGAAGAAGCACCGGCUAACUCUGUGCCAGCAGCCGC